Molecule: long non-coding RNA, 227 nt
Filed under: Physcomitrium patens
Lineage: Eukaryota; Viridiplantae; Streptophyta; Bryopsida; Funariales; Funariaceae
Description: long non-coding RNA (PPAT_LNC005974)
Source: RNAcentral
UCUGACUCUGCGUGGGACGGACGGCGCGCCCCACGGGAGCAGGACGUACAUCGUGCACAUGAAGAGGAACACCUCCCAUCACAGCGUUCUUGAUAAAUCCGCUUGUUACGUUGGGAUGAUGCAAAGAGCCACGGAGGUCCUUGCAGAGGGCCACCCCGACGACGGCAUGGACUGCCUCCACCACGUCUACGACCACGUCUUGGACGGGUUUUCGGCCAGGCUGACGC